CCAUAGCAAGAACAAAGGAAGAAAAGAAGAACAAAAACCCUAGAGUGAAAAUUCAAGAGAAAAUUGGUGGAUUUCAAGUAAUCAAGCCAUCAAAGGUGAAAUUUCUUAACUCUAGCUUGUGAUCUAUCUUACCUAUGCAUUAUUUUGCAUUUUUCAUGGUUGAAUCACAAGUUAUCAUGAAGGAUAGUGUGCUGAUCAAACCCUAGGAGAGAUAAUUUGAUGAUGAUUUAGAUAGAUUUUUAAGUUAUAUGGAUGUUUUUAGUUGUUUAUGGUGUUAAGUGUAAGAAUUAAGCUUGAAAUUCACAUAUUCCUCAUGAGUUCAUCAUUGGCCAAAUCUUCCUUGUAGAGUGUUGAUGGUGGAUUUGAUUUUAUUUCAAGUGAAUUGGUUAGGAAAUGAUGAAUUAUGGUGAGAAAAUCAAGUAGGAAAAAUCAUAGUGUUGAUGCACUCACCAUGGCCGAAAUUCUCAAGAAGAAAUGUGAGGAUGGUUUUGCUAAAUUUUAUGUUAUUUGACUUGUGUUUGGUGAUUUGAAGUAUUGGGAGAAAAAUGAAAUUAUUUGGAGUUAAAUUGGACGUAUUGGCCAAUUAAUCGGGUGAUAGAUCGAAUUAGGCCAAUACCAUUUUAUUUAGGUACAUAAUUGAAUUUAUAUUGAACAUCAUAUUUAGAUAGUUACCCGAGUAUUUCAUAUCCCAUUUCAUGCAUUAGUAUAAAGCCUGAAUUGGUUUUACAACGGUUUAGCACAAAUUUAGUAAAUGGCUUAUUGUGCAUUAUGUCUAGGUGGUGAGCUUUCUGGCAAAAGUAAAGAGAUAGUACCCGAGGAUCAAGAAUCGGAGUACUCGAAAUUCGACUCCUGAAAUAGUGAGUAACCUUAUCAUCAUCUUGAUUAUCUAAAGUGAAUUUUAAUUCGUUUUUAUGAUUUUAUGGAAAAUGAGUUUAAAUGGUAAAUCUUUAUGUUUUAUAAACAAAAUGUGUUUAAAUGAAAUGAUUUUAUAAAAUUGUCUUGAAAUUGAAUGAUGGUUUUGAAAAUGGAGUAAUUGGAGACUAAUUGUUGUGUUAUAAAUCAUGGUUUAAGUUGAAUGGCUUAUGAUAAUAUUGGCAUGAAUAGUUGAAUUGGUAAAUGUGUUGAAAAUGUAUGAACUAUUGAUUUGGCUUGAGAGACUGUAAAACAAAAUAAUUGUCAUGUCAUGCUGUUGAAUUUUAUUGAAUUGGUGGGUUAUAAAUUGGUCGCUGUAGUGGACGAGUUCUGUGGACUAGCCUAUUAGAGGGGCACGGUAACCCUAUUAUAUUCUUACCUCAGUAUGAGAGGCGCGGAUGGAUAACUCCUUAGGUUAACACUUUAGAGUUCACUUCACGCUAAACCACCACGUGAGGGUGUUUUAGCGAACGCCAAGGAACGGCUAUGUUUUCAAAAUAAAAACAUGAUUUAUGCGUACAUGACUUUUUAACAGCCUUGGCGGACUCGAUUGGGAUAGCCCUCGGCCAAGGUAUCCCUGAUAACUGAGUAUGAGAAUGAUUUUGGCACGAGCCAAAGUUUUAAGAAAUUCAUAAGCCAUGUUGAUUACUCAAUUUAUAUGAAUUGAUUUUAUUUGGUUGAAAUGAGUUGAAAGGUGAUGAAUUACAGUAUGUUAAACUAUUAUAUCUGUCUCUAUUUACUCAGCUUUAGAUAUUUUAGAUGGUAUUUGUUUACUCACUGAGAUUAUAUAAUCUCACCACCCUCUUUUCCACCCAUUUUAGGCUCAGGAUAGUCGGUAGAUAGCUCACUUUGUUGAGGACUACAAUUGGACUUGCAUCCUCAAAAACUUUAGUUAUCUGUAUCACAAUAUGUAUGAAUUUAUUUAGCUUUUAUGCUACAAAAAUUAUUUACCGAUAACUCUAUAAAUAUUAUUUUAUAAGAAAAUAGAAUAUUUUAUUGAAUAUUUUUAUUAUAUUCAAAUAGUCAUAAUUUCAUUUUAAAUGAAUGUUUUAGACAUCUAAACUUAUUUUUUAUUAUGAAAUAUGUGUUUUCCACUCGCAUAUUACAUUUUUAGCUGAUUUCGAGAUUUUCGAGAAAAAAUGACCAAAAUGCCCUUGUGAGAAAAAAAUUAUUUUUCUAUUGUUAUAAUUUGGAAAUAGUUUAUAAUCUCUCAAAACAUGAUAUUUGGUAACGGUUACUCACAGGGGAAAUGAGAAACUGAUAUUAAAGCCUUGUGGUGUUCCGGUUGACAUUCUGGGUAAUGAGUGUCGAUCGGGACACCGCAGCCGUUGUCACGGGCUCGAGGGAAGUACCUGGUCAUGACAGCAGAUUAGGUAAAGGCAUCUCCUAACCUGCCCCGAGUCACUUCGAUACUUAGGGUUGUGUCAUAAAAAAAAUUAUUAGAUGUUAAAAAAUGUUGUUAACUCAUGGACAUUAAUUGUUAAAGACCUUGUAAUUGAUAUUUAAUUGUUAUUAUUUUGAAUUGAGUAAACAGUGGUACAAUUAUUAAUAUUCACUUACGCACGUGAAUGUAUAUUUAAGGAAUCUAAUGGAAAUUUCAAAUGAGGCUUAUUCGAAACUUGGCAG
This 2538-nucleotide long non-coding RNA is filed under the name Theobroma cacao (cacao). RNAcentral's name for it is "long non-coding RNA (TCAC_LNC002911)". Lineage: Eukaryota; Viridiplantae; Streptophyta; Magnoliopsida; Malvales; Malvaceae. The record is from RNAcentral.